Molecule: small RNA, 438 nt
Filed under: Arabidopsis thaliana (thale cress)
Lineage: Eukaryota; Viridiplantae; Streptophyta; Magnoliopsida; Brassicales; Brassicaceae
Description: ATSL186270
Source: RNAcentral
AUAAAUAUCGAAUGAAAGUAGUGUAUGCUGAAACUAAACCAUAAGAAGAAGGAUAUCCUUGUAAUGUUCCAUCGUCUUUAGCGUUCAGAAAAUAACUCUUAGGGUAAAUUUAGUUGGCUAAAACAAUCGGUGGCCUAAAGUUAGGUAGAGAAUAGAGACCUCGAUCUUAAGUUGAUUUUAGUAGGCUAAAAAUGAUCGGUGGCUUAAGGAUAGAGGGAGAGACUAGAAAGACCUACAUUGUAGAAGAUAGAAAAAAAAGAAAUUUUCACAGAAGUGGCUGAAAAAAAAAUUGUUCUCAUGAUUUGGUAAAGUGAGAUGUGGUUUUCACCGUUUGUCUUUUGAAUGGUUUUUGGACCAAAAUAUUUUUAAUGGGAUCAACCAAACCUCACACCAGUUGGUUUUGGUUUAGUUUCUAUGGUUCAGUUUUGAAAAAAAAGA